Molecule: small RNA, 366 nt
Filed under: Xanthomonas campestris pv. campestris
Lineage: Bacteria; Pseudomonadati; Pseudomonadota; Gammaproteobacteria; Lysobacterales; Lysobacteraceae
Description: ncRNA of unknown function
Source: RNAcentral
GACCGCAGCGCUCAUUCGAUCUUGCGCUGGAUCGUAGACGUGCUCCUACUUGCGCCAUGCAGCUAGCGACUUGUAUGCCGUGCAACUAUGCACCUGUCACUACCAUCUAGCAGCGAGCACAACCAUUUCGGGGCAGCGUCAAGCAAACAGGCCAGCCGGAUAGGCAUGCUCUGCCUAAGACAGUGACCAUCAUGAUCCGGCGAGGGCGUGCUCCGCGCCCCGCGAGUUGAGCGGCCAACAGGCCUCGCGUCCGGCAGCUGCAGUAUCAAGUGAGAUGUGUGUCACGAAAAUCAGGGGCGAACUGACGGGCUGUCAGGGCGUUCCUGACAGCGGUCUCGGCCGCAAAACGCCUGCUGCGCCGGGCUU